GGAAGGGAGUAAUGUUCCUUCAGCUUUCUACAUCUUGAGAAAUCUAAUUAAGAAAAUAUAGUUCUAUCAGCACCAUGUUUCUCACAAUUCUUAGUUUAAUUUUUUUUUUUUUUGUUACUGUUUGUUGCAUCCUUUGGAUCUUGUUUUUGAAACAUAUAUACUUACUUUUCUGUCAGUUAGAAGGUAUGAUUCUGUUUUUAAUUUAGCAAAUUUACUCUAGCUUUUUAAACAUGUACUUAAAUGAAUAUACUUUAAUUACAAAAAUCAAUAUUGAAAUAAUGAUUUCGUAUCUGCCUUCACGCAUGGAAAUUAAGAUGCCAUUUUUAAACUCGAGGGCAAUACACUGUGCUCCCGCAGCCCCAUUAGCUCGGUUCUUUCACUCAUCCCCAGCAUAAUUAAGAGAAAAGUAAUGGUAAAAAGCAGAGAGAUGUAUCCAACAUGGCUACAUUAAGAAGAGAGACAAAUGAAGGCAUUUGGGACCCCUAUCUAUCACCUAGGUGUUUUCAAUGAGGUUUAGGUUUAAUUAAAAGAGAAAUCAAGCAUAUGUUGAAUGCUUAAGUAAUCCUGGCCAAGCUAUAAUUUUUUUUUUUUUUGCUCCUCAAGACGUUCAAAGAAGUCCUUAGUCCUGUCCUUGAUGAGGGGAACAGUCUGCUUCUUUUGGGAUGAUCACUAUUGCUCCAGGCUAUAGCCUCAUCCUCUCCUGGGGAGGGGACAUCUUUCCCAUGGUGUGUUGCUGUUCCUGGUAGCUAUGUGUGUAUAUUUGAUAAAAGCAUGAAGCACACUUUUUUAAAAGAACUUCUUCUAUGCAUCCAUGAAAUAGGAGCAUCAAUAAUAUUUAGGGACUCUGACUUCAUAGAUGUAAUUCCCAUGCCAACUAUUGCUCUUCAUUAUUUUCUAGUCAGGUUAUUUUCCCCAAGAUAGGGUUUUUCUAUGUAGCCCUGGCUGUCCUAAAAUACACUCUGUAGACCAGGCUGACCUCGAACUCACAAUGUUCCAUCUGUCUCUGCCUCCUGAGUGCUGGGUGAGAUUAAAGAUGAAUGCCACCACCAGUUGCCAAACAAAAACAAAACCAAAAAAACAAAGAGUAAACAAUGUAUUAUUUGUAUUGUUUACUUGUUGAAAUUGGAAAAACAGCUCACCCUUACCUUUUGUCACAAAUAACAAAUUGAUAUUUCAGAAAUUUUUCCUAAAAAUUUUUAAAUCUAAAUUGGAAGAUAAGUGCCUGUGUGUAUGUGUGUGUGUGUGUGUGUGUGUGUGUGUGUGUGUGCACGUGCUCUUUUAUAAAUUAAGAACUAAGAAUUUCCACUUUGGAUAAUGGACUUUUAAAAUUGUAAAUUCCAUACUGCCUGUGACUCAGCCUUUUGUAGUUGUAUGUUUUCUUGACUUGCAGAAGUUUUCUCUUGGUAUUUGAAUAUUAAAUUUGUUUUUAUUGACCUAGUUUCUUCUAGAAGAUCUAAAACUCUUACAUUGCAUUUUUAAGGUCAUGUUUCCCGUUAUUUUCUUCUAUUGGUCCUUUCUUUAUAUUCUGAGAGUAUUUAAAAUACAUCUGUGUGCCUACUUCAAUAACCCGUAUGCCCUUUCCAUUCUUUAACUCUUUCUGAUGCAUUAGCCUUUCUUUUCUUUGUGCCUUCCUUUCACUUGUCUCUCCUGUCUUUACUGUCCUUUCAGCUCAUCUUCUUGAUCAGUCCCUGACACAUGUCUACCUUCUUUCUGUCAAUAUGACAAGGUCAUAUAUGUUCAUGGUAGUAUAACCAUACACUCCUUGUGCGAAUAUAAAUAUGUUCAUGGAAAUAAAGUACAUUUAGACAUGAUUGGUGGAACCACAAAGACAUUCAAGUUUGACCUGUUUAAAGACAUCAUUAGCUUAUUUUAAUGUCUUCAUCAAUACAAUUGAAUAUGGAGCUUUGGUUUAAGUAGAAAAUUUCACUCCUUUUGGGACAGCAGGGUGGAGGCAGUUUUGUUUCAAUAAACUAUGGGUGAUUUUCUUGUUUUUUUUGUCAACAAUUGAAGAAAUAAGAGCACCUUAACUUCCUCUAUGGUCCAUUUAGUUAAGCUCAGAUUUAUUUCCUUAGGUCUACAGUGUUAAAUAUCAAAUUGCUUAACAUUUCAUUACAUUUACUAUUUGUAGUAGACAUUACAUGUAGAGGAUUUUUGGAUAAAGAUUUACCAAGCUUAAUUGCUCUAUCUAUAGGGGAGGAAUGAUUUCCAUAUUUCUCUUUGUUUUGACCUUUUAUCAUGCAAUGACAAAGUCUUUAAAAACUCAUUAUCAUCCAGUCUUAUCUCCUUUCACAAUGUUGCUCUGUAUACUGCUUUGAACAGUACUUACACACAUGAAAAAGACUGACAGUAGUGUAAAGGACAAGGUAGAAGCUUUAGAUAGUAAUAAAAAUAAUUUUAUUAGAUAUUUUCUUCAUUUACAUUUCAAAUGCUAUACCCAAUGCCCCAUACCCUCCCCUCACCCUGCUCCCCAACUCACCCACUCCUGCUUCCUGGCCCUGGCAUUCCCCUGUACUGGGGCAUAUGAUCUUCACAAUUCCUCCCACUGAUGGCUGACUAGGCCAUCCUCUGCUACAUAUGCAACUAGAAACACAGCUCUGAGGAGUACUGGUUAGUUCAUAUUGUUGUUCCUCCUAUAGGGUUGUAGACCCCUUUAGCCCCUGGGGUACUUUCUCUAGCUCCUUCAUUAGGGGGUUUGUGUUCCAUCCAAUAUUUGACUGUGAGCAUUCACUUCUGUAUUUGCCAGGCACUGGCAUAGCCUCACAAUAGAGAGCUAUGUCAGGGUCCUGUCAGCAAAAAUCUUUCUGGAAUAUGCAAUAGUGUCUGGGUUUGGUGGUUGUAUAUGGGAUGGAUCCCCGGGUGGGGCAUGCCAAUCACAAUAGAACACACAUGAUAUGUACUCACUGAUAAGUGGAUAUUAGCCAAGAAACUUAGAAUACCCAAGAUACAAUUUGCAAAACACAUGAAACUCAAGAAUAAGGAAGACCAAAGUGCAGAUACUUCUUCUUAGAAUGGGGAACAAAAUACCCAUGGGAGGAGUUACAGAGACAAAGUUCGGACCUGAGACAGUAGGACAGACCAUCCAGAGACUGCGCCACUUGGGGAUAAAGAUAAUUUUUAGUUUCCAUAUAUGUUAUUGAGAUGGCUUCUGCUUCUAUCUUUCCCAGGCCAUAAAGCACAUAUAUAAUUUAAAAUUAUGAAUAAUAAGAGGUAAUAUAACAUAUACAAAGUAUAUUUCCACAUCCUUGUAAAAUAUGACCAAAUUGGAUAUGUUCAGGGUAGUAAGAACAUACAUUCUUUGUGCUAAU
Molecule: long non-coding RNA, 3305 nt
Filed under: Mus musculus (house mouse)
Lineage: Eukaryota; Metazoa; Chordata; Mammalia; Rodentia; Muridae
Description: long non-coding RNA chr6:64231882-64235187
Source: RNAcentral